Molecule: ribosomal RNA, 393 nt
Filed under: uncultured bacterium
Lineage: Bacteria
Description: partial 16S ribosomal RNA
Rfam family: Bacterial small subunit ribosomal RNA
Source: RNAcentral
AUACGGAGGAUGCGAGCGUUAUCCGGAUUUAUUGGGUUUAAAGGGUGCGUAGGCUGUGCGUUAAGUCAGGGGUGAAAUGCCGUCGCUCAACGACGGAGCUGCCCUUGAUACUGGCGUGCUGGAGUACGGAUGCCGUUGGAGGAAUGAGUGGUGUAGCGGUGAAAUGCUUAGAUAUCACUCAGAACACCGAUUGCGAAGGCAUCUGACGAAUCCGUCACUGACGCUGAGGCACGAAAGCGUGGGGAUAGAACAGGAUUAGAUACCCUGGUAUUCCACGCCGUAAACGAUGAUGACUAACCGUCGGCGAUAGACAGCCGGUGGCCAAGCGAAAGCGAUAAGUCAUCCACCUGGGGAGUACGUCGGCAACGAUGAAACUCAAAUGAAUCGGCGGGG